Leucoraja erinaceus (little skate) is the source of this 378-nucleotide non-coding RNA. Lineage: Eukaryota; Metazoa; Chordata; Chondrichthyes; Rajiformes; Rajidae. The record is from the annotation of a RefSeq genome assembly.
AUGUUCUGUAUCUCGUCAUUGGUGCUAAUAACCCUCGGCUUUCCCGGAGCCCGUGGCGAUGAUUCGAUUUCCCAGAGUCCGCCUGAGCUGACGGUUGAAGAAGGACAAACGGUAACAAUGAAAUGUAGUUACCCAGCAGCUUACGACACUCACACUGCCUUCUGGUACAUCCAGUAUCCUGGAGACGCGCCCAGAUAUAUACUGAAGAAAUUCAACAACGAGAAUGGAGAUUGGUCACCGGAUUUUACAGACAGAUUUUCGGCUGAAUAUCAGAAAGCAAACAGGACGGUUCCUCUAACAAUCUCCCGUGUCCUCGUCUCCGACUCUGCCGUCUACCUCUGCGCCAUGGCGCCCACAUUGCUACAGAGAUGCGGCUGA